RNAcentral lists this ribosomal RNA (533 nucleotides) under uncultured bacterium. RNAcentral's name for it is "bacterial SSU rRNA". It matches the Rfam family "Bacterial small subunit ribosomal RNA", at positions 777 to 1308 of the family's 1533-position model. The record is from RNAcentral.
AAUAGAUACCCAGGUAGUCCACGCCGUAAACGAUGAGUGCUAAGUGUUAGGGGGUUUCCGCCCCUUAGUGCUGCAGCUAACGCAUUAAGCACUCCGCCUGGGGAGUACGGUCGCAAGACUGAAACUCAAAGGAAUUGACGGGGGCCCGCACAAGCGGUGGAGCAUGUGGUUUAAUUCGAAGCAACGCGAAGAACCUUACCAGGUCUUGACAUCCCGCUGACCGCUAUGGAGACAUAGUUUUCCCUUCGGGGACAGCGGUGACAGGUGGUGCAUGGUUGUCGUCAGCUCGUGUCGUGAGAUGUUGGGUUAAGUCCCGCAACGAGCGCAACCCUUGUCCUUAGUUGCCAUCAUUCAGUUGGGCACUCUAAGGAGACUGCCGGCUAAAAGUCGGAGGAAGGUGGGGAUGACGUCAAAUCAUCAUGCCCCUUAUGACCUGGGCUACACACGUGCUACAAUGGACGGUACAAACGGUUGCGAAGUCGCGAGACGGAGCUAAUCCGAAAAAACCGUUCUCAGUUCGGAUUGCAGGCUGC